AUGCUCGAGGGUUUGAGGAUGUUUAUUGGUGGCUGAUGUGAUGAAUUAACAUGUUGUGGUUGCUGAUAUUGUGCUAUGUUGCAUGUAUAUAGAAUGAUUGAUGGAAUGAAGUUGGAAGAAAGUUAGAAAUUUGGAAAAGGAUCUCAAGAGGACUUCGAGGGAACUCCCGGCGAAGCGUCUUAGAGCUAAUUUCUCAAACUUUGACUUUUGAUACUUGGUUUGGAAGUGGAAGUUCUGAGGCUUAAUUAGUGACCCCCAAAAAUAAUUUUUCCCCACAGGGCUCGAGGCCAAAGAAAGCGC
Molecule: long non-coding RNA, 300 nt
Organism: Coffea arabica (coffee)
Lineage: Eukaryota; Viridiplantae; Streptophyta; Magnoliopsida; Gentianales; Rubiaceae
Source: RefSeq, a predicted model, not a curated record